GGGGGUGAACGGUCCGUGGUGGGCCGCCUGACAUUGGUCGGUGGUGCGGGCAACCGCACAGGGUUCGAGUCCCUCACCCUCU
RNAcentral lists this transfer RNA (82 nucleotides) under Candidatus Latescibacterota bacterium. Its description in RNAcentral is "tRNA-OTHER". Lineage: Bacteria; Pseudomonadati; Candidatus Latescibacterota. The record is from RNAcentral.